GGGUUGUGAGGUUAAGCGACUAAGCGUACACGGUGGAUGCCCUGGCAGUCAGAGGCGAUGAAGGGCGUGCUAAUCUGCGAUAAGCGCCGGUAAGGUGAUAUGAACCGUUAUAACCGGCGAUACCCGAAUGGGGAAACCCAGUGUGAUUCGUCACACUAUCAUUAACUGAAUCCAUAGGUUAAUGAGGCGAACCGGGGGAACUGAAACAUCUAAGUACCCCGAGGAAAAGAAAUCAACCGAGAUUCCCCCAGUAGCGGCGAGCGAACGGGGAGGAGCCCAGAGCCUGAAUCAGCAUGUGUGUUAGUGGAAGCGUCUGGAAAGGCGCGCGAUACAGGGUGACAGCCCCGUACACAAAAGCGCAUGUGCUGUGAGCUCGAUGAGUAGGGCGGGACACGUGGUAUCCUGUCUGAAUAUGGGGGGACCAUCCUCCAAGGCUAAAUACUCCUGACUGACCGAUAGUGAACCAGUACCGUGAGGGAAAGGCGAAAAGAACCCCGGCGAGGGGAGUGAAAAAGAACCUGAAACCGUGUACGUACAAGCAGUGGGAGCACCCUUUUGGGUGUGACUGCGUACCUUUUGUAUAAUGGGUCAGCGACUUAUAUUCUGUAGCAAGGUUAACCGAAUAGGGGAGCCGUAGGGAAACCGAGUCUUAACCGGGCGUUAAGUUGCAGGGUAUAGACCCGAAACCCGGUGAUCUAGCCAUGGGCAGGUUGAAGGUUGGGUAACACUAACUGGAGGACCGAACCGACUAAUGUUGAAAAAUUAGCGGAUGACCUGUGGCUGGGGGUGAAAGGCCAAUCAAACCGGGAGAUAGCUGGUUCUCCCCGAAAGCUAUUUAGGUAGCGCCUCGUGAACUCAUCUCCGGGGGUAGAGCACUGUUUCGGCUAGGGGGCCAUCCCGGCUUACCAACCCGAUGCAAACUGCGAAUACCGGAGAAUGUUAUCACGGGAGACACACGGCGGGUGCUAACGUCCGUCGUGAAGAGGGAAACAACCCAGACCGCCAGCUAAGGUCCCAAAGUCAUGGUUAAGUGGGAAACGAUGUGGGAAGGCCCAGACAGCCAGGAUGUUGGCUUAGAAGCAGCCAUCAUUUAAAGAAAGCGUAAUAGCUCACUGGUCGAGUCGGCCUGCGCGGAAGAUGUAACGGGGCUAAACCAUGCACCGAAGCUGCGGCAGCGAACGUAUCACUUAAAGCGAUUCAGCGGGUUACGAUUGACGGAGCGAAGCGACGUCAAAGCGUAUACAAAGUCGAGUCGGUUUAAGGAUACGUUCGUUGGGUAGGGGAGCGUUCUGUAAGCCUGCGAAGGUGGCCUGUGAGGGUUGCUGGAGGUAUCAGAAGUGCGAAUGCUGACAUAAGUAACGAUAAAGCGGGUGAAAAGCCCGCUCGCCGGAAGACCAAGGGUUCCUGUCCAACGUUAAUCGGGGCAGGGUGAGUCGACCCCUAAGGCGAGGCCGAAAGGCGUAGUCGAUGGGAAACGGGUUAAUAUUCC
This 1489-nucleotide ribosomal RNA is filed under the name Salmonella enterica. Its description in RNAcentral is "partial 23S ribosomal RNA". It matches the Rfam family "Bacterial large subunit ribosomal RNA", at positions 1 to 1439 of the family's 2925-position model. Lineage: Bacteria; Pseudomonadati; Pseudomonadota; Gammaproteobacteria; Enterobacterales; Enterobacteriaceae. The record is from RNAcentral.